CUGUAAAUAUGCGCGGGCAACCCGAAUGUAAUCAACCCGCAUAUUGGAGAAAGUAUUAUGGCACUGAGUGCAGAAGAAAAAGCAGCAAUCGUUUCUGAACAU
This 102-nucleotide non-coding RNA is filed under the name marine eukaryotic metagenome. RNAcentral describes it as "Ribosomal S15 leader". It matches the Rfam family "Ribosomal S15 leader", at positions 9 to 102 of the family's 117-position model. Rfam says of the family: The E. coli Ribosomal S15 gene 5' UTR can form two alternative structures. One that is a series of three hairpins, The other includes a pseudoknot. The record is from RNAcentral.